GGGCCCGUAGCCCAGUACGGAUUAAGGCGCUGGCCUUCGGAGCCGGAGAUCGAGGGUUCAAAUCCCUCCGGGCCCG
RNAcentral lists this transfer RNA (76 nucleotides) under Candidatus Bathyarchaeota archaeon. RNAcentral's name for it is "tRNA-Arg". It matches the Rfam family "tRNA". From Rfam's summary of the family: Transfer RNA (tRNA) molecules are approximately 80 nucleotides in length. Their secondary structure includes four short double-helical elements and three loops (D, anti-codon, and T loops). Lineage: Archaea; Thermoproteati; Candidatus Bathyarchaeota. The record is from RNAcentral.